This 222-nucleotide unclassified non-coding RNA is filed under the name rhizosphere metagenome. RNAcentral's name for it is "partial ribosomal RNA internal transcribed spacer region". The record is from RNAcentral.
GUAGGUGAACCUGCGGAAGGAUCAUUACAGAGUUCAUGCCCUUUGGGGUAGAUCUCCCACCCUUGUGUAUCAUUAUAGAAUGUUGCUUUGGCGGGCCGCACGCCUGGCGUGCCUGGAUUCGCGUCCAGCGUGCCCGCCAGAGGACCCCUAAACUCUGAAUGUUAGUGUCGUCUGAGUACUAUUAAAUAGUUAAAACUUUCAACAACGGAUCUCUUGGUUCUG